UACCCCAGGAGCUCCUCCCUGCUAUAUGGAUGUCAUUCCUGAAGAUCACCGAUUAGAGAGCCCAACCACUCCUCUGCUAGAUGACAUGGAUGGCUCUCAAGACAGCCCUAUCUUUAUGUAUGCCCCUGAGUUCAAGUUCAUGCCACCACCGACUUAUACUGAGGUGAGGAUUGUCAUCUUUACUGUUAAAUUUGUCCUAAGCUUUCUAUAAGAAGUUGACUUAGACGGAUUGCUAAACUGGUUUGUUCUUUUUGUUCUUACCUGAACUGAAAUAGUCUGUUUCUUUCUUUAGGUGGAUCCCUGCAUCCUCAACAACAAUGUGCAGUGAGCAUGUGGAAGAAAAGAAGCAGCUUUACCUACUUGUUUCUUUUUGUCUCUCUUCCUGGACACUCACUUUUUCAGAGACUCAACAGUCUCUGCAAUGGAGUGUGGGUCCACCUUAGCCUCUGACUUCCUAAUGUAGGAGGUGGUCAGCAGGCAAUCUCCUGGGCCUUAAAGGAUGCGGACUCAUCCUCAGCCAGCGCCCAUGUUGUGAUACAGGGGUGUUUGUUGGAUGGGUUUAAAAAUAACUAGAAAAACUCAGGCCCAUCCAUUUUCCCAGAUCUCCUUGAAAAUUGAGGCCUUUUCGAUAGUUUUGGGUCAGGUAAAAAUGGCCUCCUGGCAUAAGCUUUUCAAGGUUUUUUGGAGGCUUUUUGUAAAUUGUGAUAGAACUUUGGACCUUGAACUUAUGUAUCAUGUGGAGAAGAGCCAAUUUAACAAACUAGGAAGAUGAAAAGGGAAAUUGUGGCCAAAACUUUGGGAAAAGGAGGUUCUUAAAAUCAGUGUUUCCCCUUUGUGCACUUGUAGAAAAAAAAGAAAAACCUUCUAGAGCUGAUUUGAUGGACAAUGGAGAGAGCUUUCCCUGUGAUUAUAAAAAAGGAAACUAGCUGCUCUACGGUCAUCUUUGCUUAGAGUAUACUUUAACCUGGCUUUUAAAGCAGUAGUAACUGCCCCACCAAAGGUCUUAAAAGCCAUUUUUGGAGCCUAUUGCACUGUGUUCUCCUACUGCAAAUAUUUUCAUAUGGGAGGAUGGUUUUCUCUUCAUGUAAGUCCUUGGAAUUGAUUCUAAGGUGAUGUUCUUAGCACUUUAAUUCCUGUCAAAUUUUUUGUUCUCCCCUUCUGCCAUCUUAAAUGUAAGCUGAAACUGGUCUACUGUGUCUCUAGGGUUAAGCCAAAAGACAGAAAAAAUUUUACUACUUUUGAGAUUGCCCCAAUGUACAGAAUUAUAUAAUUCUAACGCUUAAAUCAUGUGAAAGGGUUGCUGCUGUCAGCCUUGCCCACUGUGACUUCAAACCCAAGGAGGAACUCUCGAUCAAGAUGCCCAACCCUGUGAUCAGAACCUCCAAAUACUGCCAUGAGAAACUAGAGGGCAGGUCUUCAUAAAAGCCCUUUGAACCCCCUUCCUGCCCUGUGUUAGGAGAUAGGGAUAUUGGCCCCUCACUGCAGCUGCCAGCACUUGGUCAGUCACUCUCAGCCAUAGCACUUUGUUCACUGUCCUGUGUCAGAGCACUGAGCUCCACCCUUUUCUGAGAGUUAUUACAGCCAGAAAGUGUGGGCUGAAGAUGGUUGGUUUCAUGUUUUUGUAUUAUGUAUCUUUUUGUAUGGUAAAGACUAUAUUUUGUACUUAACCAGAUAUAUUUUUACCCCAGAUGGGGAUAUUCUUUGUAAAAAAUGAAAAUAAAGUUUUU
RNAcentral lists this long non-coding RNA (1727 nucleotides) under Pan troglodytes (chimpanzee). Its description in RNAcentral is "long non-coding RNA NONPTRT001211". The record is from RNAcentral. Lineage: Eukaryota; Metazoa; Chordata; Mammalia; Primates; Hominidae.